GUUGAUCUGAAUGUGAUAUUACGCAGUUCAAGGAACUCAUUAUUUGUCUCCAGUUUUCUUUCUAUGCUUUUGUCGGUUGAAAACUAUGAUAAUUCUGCUCUCAAAACUGCACUCAUGGAAAAAUGGAAGAAAUUUUUAACAUGACUAAUGCUGGCUCUCAGUUUUUGAUGUACACAGACCCUGUUUCAACUUACUUUCUUGACAAUCAGGCCAAGUUCAAUCUUGUUGUCGUAAUUAUGUGCUCAGCCGUUCAAAUUCUAAAACGUUAUGACAACAGAACUUUUCUAGACUAUAUAACGCAGUUUAGCUGGAUGGCAAUCCUUUGUUUGCAGGCCUCUUAUAUUUUCAUCAAGUCUUCAUUGGACAUCAGGUCAAUUCAGAUUUUAAUUCUCGCCUUAAUUUUUACUGCAUCUCUCUGGAAGUUUGUUUAUUUCAAGUUCUUUUUCUUCAGACAAAGGGAAAGCUCACCCAAGUCGAAAAAAACUUCUCCCAUGACAGUUCCGGUCUCUUUAGAGUCUGCCAAAAUUCACCCAAGCUCACCUCUGAAAAUUAGUUUGGAAGGUAUGCCUCAGCCAACCCAAAGAGACAACACAAAAAUGAAGUCUGGUUUUGAUCAGAACCUGGAAAAUGGUCUUGGUAUUGGAUCCCUAAAUCUUGGACCGAGUCAAUCAACUCCGUCAAACCGAUUCUCAAGGAAUGUUUUCUCCGUUAGCCAUGACAGUUUUCCCUCGAAACGCAAACCUCUCAUUUUACCUUCAAGGCUAAAUAUCAAUUUGAAAAAUGAGCUAAGUGAAAUCAACUUGCCGUUUUCACGGCCAUCUAGUCAAAGCUCAGGUUAUGAGACAAUGAACAAGUCAGGUUUCGAUUCACAAAAUGGCUCCAUAACGGGUGACGAAGACUACGAUGUUCCUCUUAAAAGCAGUCUUCCAUUGCAAGUGUCAAAUUACAGGAUGAGUCCACCCUUCAUGCCCCCUGCUCCAUCACCAUACGAACUCUACACUUAUUACCACUUCACUGCCAAGUUUCAAGCCUCAUAUGGAGGACAAUCCCCUCACAAUUUAUCAUCCUGCUCGUCUUGUGUGGGAAGCACAGCUCCCUUGAACUCAAAUAAAUGGUUCUUAUUAGUUUUUCUAAUGUUUCUGUUCAUAGUCUUACAAGAAUCUUUCAUUCUUUACUCAUUAUUGAAUCGAUGAUGAAGAUUUUAAUUAGUGUAAGAUAAUCACUGUACUGCCAUCAGCCAGAUGCCAACCACGCAUCUAUGCCAAUUUAACGUUAAUGUUAUUGUAAAUGUUCCCUUUUAUUUUUUUUGCUUGUAAUCAAUCCUUGUAAAUAAUUCCGUUUAAAACAUUAAAAGGAAAACUUUUUCACCCAGAAAAACAUCCUGUUCAAUAUAGGUGUACGUAUUCUUUUCGUUUUUGUUGAGCUCUCAUGAGGUUCAGAAUUUGAAUGAUAGCAGUCAAUACUGAUUUAAAUUACAGGUUACAAUCAUUGCAAAUAGGACUUAAAAUCUUCUAUGAGGGAAAAUUUCUCUGCAAUCCAUCUAUAAAAUCUUGGUCACUGUUGGGGUGGUUCCACUUUCUACAAAUGAUGCGAAGUUUUUCAUGGGAAUGUGUUAGUUUUUGCUCUGCAUUUCUAAUUUGCAAAUCAGACGAGGCAAAAAGGCAAUCAGGCAAUAAAAAAAUUGAUGCAAGAAAAUCAGCACUAAAGUAAGUUAACAGACAGUAAAAACAAACAAAAACAUAUAUCUUUGAGGAAGAUUUUUUAUUUGCUUGAUGCAAUUUAUUUACUCAAGGUGAAAUUUUCUCAACAAGAACAACAUUGUCAAUGCUGGACACUUUUGCUUGAAAGCAAAGAAACUCAUCUUCUAGAAUAUGAUUAUUGAAAUUUCGUAGUCCUAGAAACUGUAAUUCAAAAGAGGUCCCAUUUUUUAAAAUUUAUCUCUGUGUACCAUAGGUACCAUAGGUGCUCUCAGAGCUGAAAGAAUGUUUUAUUGUUAUUGAUACAUUGGCACAUUUGUUCUUAAGUAUGUUCACGUUAUGUACUGAUGUGCUGAUAAAUUUUUCUAACAGAGAAUAAUUUCAAUUGAACUCUGGUACUCUCACAUGGCCAUUUGAUUUUUAAUACAAUGGAAAGUAAUGAGAACACUGUGUGUAAUAGGUAAUUACAGCAUUUAAACACUUCAAAGCACUUCUAAACGAGACAUCUUAUUAUGAUAACCAAUGCUUAGAGAUUGUAUUAAUUGUAAAGUCAGCAGAAUUUUUUACCAGUCCUCAGUUCAGCAGAUUUUUAAGCAGUCAAAAAUAAAAUGGACCGAUUUAACUAAAAUUACCCCAAUUUCUCAAGACAUUGCCUAAUUUUUCUCAAUGUUUCAUUUUUUAAGCAGAAAACUAAGGGGCAUUGAAACUUGAAAUGGAGUUUUUACAUGUGUCAGGUAUUUGCAUUUAAAGUACUUUCUCUGAUUUAAAAUUUUUCGAGAUACACAAUGGUGCCACUGAUUUUCUCCAAAAUCAACUCCUAAGCCUAAAAAAAGCUCUCUAAGUUCAGGCCAUGAUCAAGUGGAUAUCCCACUUUAUGCUGAGAGUUCACCUCCAUAUCCAGUCAAACUCUCUAUGCAUAGAUAGAGAGCAAAUACAUUAAGAGGGUUGCCACUUUGUUUAGGAACUCCAAAGUUGAAACCAAGGGAACCCUACUAAUGUAUUUGCUCCCUAUCUGUGCAUGGAGAGUUUAACUAGAUACAGGGGUAGGCUCUCAGCAUAGCACUGGAUAUCUCCUCCAUUACAGCCUGAAUUUUGAGGGCUUUUUUUGAGCUUAGGAAUUUAUUUCAGAGAAAACAGUGGCACCAUCGUGUUUCUUGCGAAAUUUCACGUCAGGCAAAGUAUUUAAAAUACGAAUGCCUAAUAUACGCAAGAAACUCAUUGUAUAUGAGCAUAUUCUUCAAUAUCACAGAAAGUUUGAAGGCUUUAAAUACUUCAGUGCUGUUUUAAAAAUUAAAACAUUAGAGAAAAUUUAAGUCCGUCCAAAUCUAUUUCUGAGGCACUAAAAAAAAUAAUAAUUGAUUUAUGUACUUAGCUUGACAUCAUCAAAAAGUUAUGAAAAUGAUUUGACAGCCUUUUUAUUCAGAAUUAAAUAUUUAUAAUAUUGACAGAAAAGACUAGCCUUAUAGUUCUUACCUCUAAUUCCCACUGAAAAUCUAGAAAAUUUAGAAGACUUUAGGAACUUAAAUUGAGGAGCCUCUCUCCCAACUCCAGCUCAUUCCAUUCUGGAUAUACUUUUGGGGAGAACAGGUCUUUAUUGAAGUUCAUUGGUAGUUGUUGAGGUGCCUAGUAGACUCAUGAUGUUACAAUUUAUUUGUGGGCUUAUGAGGUGUUGUGAAAUAAAUUUUCCAAUAUGUACUUGUUGCACACAAAAAUUUAUUUUCUCACAAAGGAAUCAUUCAAGUGACAAACUCAUACUUUUGUGUUGUUUUCCUCUCACAGGAGGAAACCAUUGUGACUCGAGUUUUGUGUCAUGAGUCAAGCGGUAAAUUCUAAGUAUUAAAUUGGAACAGGAUCAGAUACAAUCAGUUUUGACUUGUGUUUCCUUCCUACCAUGGCUACAUAUUCUUGAGCUGGCUGACUUUUCAACGACAUUGGAACAUAGUCCGAUUCUUCUUCUUUUGUGGUUUUUCUUCACCGCUCUGAAAUUUUUUCACAAAAAAUCUCAUUAGUAAUUGCAUGUCAAACCAAUGUUCACUGAAACUCUGAUUAGUUGAGAAAAUCAAUAUGGCUCAUAAAAUAAAUUUUACUUUCAGAAAAGGUUUGCAUGUUCUCGCUCCGAACGCCAUCACACCUGUAUACUGUUUGCAAAAGUAAAUUUGGUUGCCUUGAACCUCAAUUUGCUAAUCAAAGCACUUGUAGAUUCACCUUGUCAGAUUCAUGUCAGUAGGCUAUUGAGAAGCAACUCAAGGAUUUUCAUCCUUGGACAAAGCUAUGUCCAUGCACAGGCUUUGCGUGUUUAUUGCACAUCAAUUGAAAAAAUUAAACAAUAUCUACUCCAGUUUUGCAUGAUAAAUAUGUAAUGUUAAUGCAUUGAAACAAAACAAUAUUUCUUCACUCAAUUUUGCUCGAUGACUUCAACCCUUUGAUACUCCUGGAUUUUUCAAGAGCAUUUUCAUAAAGUUUCUGAGACUGCUUAGUAAACUGUUGAAUAAUAUCUGUGGAUUAAAAAUGCUUUCAAAAUAAAUAGUCUUCUACUUUGUAAAUAAAUAAUAAUAGUAGAAAAAGUGAAACGUCAACUAGUUUCAGUAGUGAAUUAUUGCAGUUAAAAGUGCCUUAUUAAGAAUGUAAUAGAAAAAUAACAAGAAAUUGAAAACAGCUCAAUGAAGAAUCAGUGACAAUUUUCAUAAUGCAAGAAAGUCUUGGCAUGUCUCAUUGUAGAUUGCUCUCCGCUAUGAAUCUCUCCUCUAGAGCUGUGCAUCAACAAACAAUUCUCUCCCCACCCCUAUCUUUUUAAUACCUUUUUAAGUCCCCCUUUUUGAGUGUGUUGCAAGGAGACAUAUAGGCUGACAGCACUGGAAAGUGAUAAUAUACUUACGUGCUUUUUUUGAUCAAAGGACUCCUAGGUGGCAGAGGUGGGGGUUGAGGGCAAGUCUGAGGAGGAGGGACCGGCUUGUCGUCAAUCUCCUCGUAGAUGCCUGAUGUUAGGCUGGUCAUUGAGUUGUUGGACACCUUGCGCGGAAGUCGCUCAUAGAUAUUGCCUCGACUUCUUUCGUCUGACUCUGUUUGGGACUGAGUCUCAGAGUCUUUGUCUUUGUACAGGUUCUCUAGGUUAUGGACUAUGAACUGAGGUGCAGGUACAGGGACCGGUAGGACAGCAUGGCACUGAGCUAAAUUUGUCAUAGAACCUGGCACGCUUGACCCUGGUGUUGUCAUUAAGAGCCCGACGCUUGCAAAUAAUAGAUUGUUCGUACUCUGCAAUAAACCAUUACUCAUUACAUUCUUGACCCUCACGUUAUUUGAAGCUUUUAGGAAAUAGCACCAUGAUGCAUGGAAGGAAAAUUGUAAUGAUCCAAAAUUAUUUCUUUCAAAAGUCGCAGAAAAACCAGGAUUGGAGGGGUGAGAGCCUUUCCGACUCACCCCUCCAACCUUAGUAAGUAAAAAAAUAUAAUUUUAAGUAAUAAAUGAAUUAUAAAUACUAAAAAUAUACAUAUCGACGGUGUAAGUCGGCAAUCACAUAACUCGGUUUGCGACGUCGCAGACUUCCUGUCAUACUUUAUUUUUUAAACGGAAAACUACUCAACGGCAAGUCAUCAAAACUGCCGUGAUUUUUCUUCUCUGCGCGAAGAAAAUUCUGCAAAAACUUCGAGGAAUGAUGUCAGUUUGUUCUCCUUUAAAAAAAUACCAAAGAGGCGGAGAUUUUCAGACCCCGCAAACGAGUUAUGUGAUUGUCGACUUACACCGUCGAUAUGUAGCUAUAUCAAACUUAAUGAACUCAUUUACACAUCAUCCAAAUAAAUUAAUAAAAAUUAGUAUUACCUACAAAGAAAAUUAUUUGUAAAUAGAAGUAGGUAUGUAUACUAACAAAGGAAAACGCUGAUACGUUGCAAUGAACAGGGCCGGAUUAAGGGGGUGGCCACAUGGGCCGCGGCCCAUGGCGGCAAAUCUAUAGGGGGCGGCAAAUUUUGCAAUUUUUUUAAAUGUAGGUAGGUGUAAAAAAAAUUACAAACGAGAAAAGGCGACCAAAUCUCUAAUUUUCUGAGAGUAUAGUAAUUUCUACUUUUGUCGUCUUUCAGUGAUACAAGAGGCAGCAUCUUUAAUUAGUCGAGUUAAGAGAGAAUCCGAACACGCAAUUUGGCCUAGAAUGCGACUUACCUAGAGAGAAAUGAUGCCGAGGACUUGAGAUGAAAAGGAAAAGCCCUCGGCGCAGCGAUCGGCAUGUAACACAUAUUAGCGCCUACAAGACUGCACGAAUACUUCACGCAUUGCAUCAAACACAGUGCGGUGUGCGGUCAUUGCGGACAGCGUGAAACGGAUAGUGCCUACAAGAAUGCAUGAAUACCUCACGCAUUGCCCUGCUAAAAAUGGUGAGUACGAAUGAGUAU
RNAcentral lists this long non-coding RNA (6079 nucleotides) under Bemisia tabaci. RNAcentral's name for it is "lncRNA ENSSWEETPG002314". Lineage: Eukaryota; Metazoa; Arthropoda; Insecta; Hemiptera; Aleyrodidae. The record is from RNAcentral.